RNAcentral lists this ribosomal RNA (490 nucleotides) under uncultured bacterium. RNAcentral describes it as "partial 16S ribosomal RNA". It matches the Rfam family "Bacterial small subunit ribosomal RNA", at positions 30 to 507 of the family's 1533-position model. The record is from RNAcentral.
UGAACGCUGGCGGUAGGCCUAACACAUGCACGUCGACCGGCAGCACAGUAAGAGCUUGCUCUUACGGGUGGCGAGUGGCGGACGGGUGAGGAAUACAUCGGAAUCUACUUUUUCGUGGGGGAUAACGUAGGGAAACUUACGCUAAUACCGCAUACGACCUACGGGUGAAAGCAGGGGAUCUUCGGACCUUGCGCGAUUGAAUGAGCCGAUGUCGGAUUAGCUAGUUGGCGGGGUAAAGGCCCACCAAGGCGACGAUCCGUAGCUGGUCUGAGAGGAUGAUCAGCCACACUGGAACUGAGACACGGUCCAGACUCCUACGGGAGGCAGCAGUGGGGAAUAUUGGACAAUGGGCGCAAGCCUGAUCCAGCCAUACCGCGUGGGUGAAGAAGGCCUUCGGGUUGUAAAGCCCUUUUGUUGGGAAAGAAAAGCAGCAGGUUAAUACCCCGCUGUUCUGACGGUACCCAAAGAAUAAGCACCGGCUAACUUCGUG